Molecule: long non-coding RNA, 763 nt
Organism: Pungitius pungitius (ninespine stickleback)
Lineage: Eukaryota; Metazoa; Chordata; Actinopteri; Perciformes; Gasterosteidae
Exons: 4
Source: RefSeq, a predicted model, not a curated record
CAGCUCUAUUCCAAAACAUCUGAAGUGAAAGUGAAAACAAAGACUUUUCCUUGGAUUUUCUUUCAACCUUGAGAGGCGGACGAGGCACACAAAGACAACAAUUAGAUCGUGAAACAGCAAAAUGACAAAGAUUUACGUACAUGUAGCCGGACAGACACUGGGGUCUCAUGAGGACUUUGUAAAAAAACUCACCAAUAGAAAAAGAGCAAAGAUAGUGAACUCACCUGAGGAGAGCGAUUGGACUAUUGUCUUCUGCCCCAUCGUCAGUCGUUAUCAGACCGACAUCGAGGCGGCGUUAUCCAGCGUCCCAGGUGAAGCAUCCGGCAGGAAGCUGGUUCUGGUGGCGAUGCAUCACUCGUUUGACAAAGACUACGUUUUCCCAAGAACCGGCGAGGUCUGCAGUGGAGUGGACGUCCAAGCAGAUUGUCUGUUUUAUGAUAAAAAGGGACUUUACAAGUGCCCUUCUAAUAAGAAAGCAAUCAAGAUGGUCCGCGACAAGCUGGAGACUCGUGGAGGUUGUUGCUUCACAUUUUAAAGUGUGGAAGAAGAGCCAUCUGACAAAUUAUUAAAUCCAGAGUGACACGUCAGGUGGCCUCUGGUGAACUGAAGAGAACAACUCAACCGGCCCCUCACGUGAACCUCCUCUUACUUAUGGUUCAACUACAUGUACAUGAUCACAGCACGUCACUCGGCGCUGUCCAUUAUUUAUUUUAUAUGUAACUGUAGGCUUGUAGGAUCCACAAUAAAGGAAUCUCAUGUCGUC